Panicum virgatum (switchgrass) is the source of this 2430-nucleotide long non-coding RNA. RefSeq lists it as uncharacterized. Lineage: Eukaryota; Viridiplantae; Streptophyta; Magnoliopsida; Poales; Poaceae. The record is from RefSeq and is a predicted model, not a curated record. The transcript is spliced from 5 exons.
GUCACUUCAGUCUUUUUGCUUCAUUAUUUUCCAAAAAAUUUGAAAAAUAAAUCUCUGAUACACAUAUCCCGUAGCCCCCGAGUCUUGAAUUUAAAUCUCUCCAUUUAGAUUUAAGAAUCAAAGAAAACUCAUGGUAGAAUAAGUAAUGAAAACUUCCCUAAAAAGGAAAGAAUCCGUUGAUCUCCCAAAUAUGCACAAAAUUGCCACCAGAGACCAUAUAAAUCCGUCUGGUAACUUGUGAGGGUUUUACCCUUUGAACUCCUGGCCACCAUCAAAUUCUCAUUCACACUUGCCCACUGCCGGUGCCAUCCAUAGCCCCUCUCAUAGCCCCCGAGCCUAAAGUCGUGACAUUGAGAUGGCUCCCAAGAAAGACAAGUCCAAAGUUGAAGAUGAAGCAGUUGCCAAUCUUUCAACGGGCUGGCGCAAGAGCAAAAUGUCUGAAUCAGCUGUGCAAGAACUGGAGAAUAUGGGUUUCCUCCAAACCCAGGUCGUGAUCCAAUGGCAUGCAGGUGAAGGAGAAGAUUACCCUAUGGAAGGUACCCUUGAAACCGUUGUUUUCCGUGAUUUCGUGGAACGCGGUCUUGCACUUCCUGUGUCAGAAUUCUUAUAUGCUCUCCUGCAAUUUUGGGGAAUCCAAUUACAUCAUUUCACUCCCCAAUCUAUCUUGCAUCUUUCUAUCUUUACUCAUUUCUGCGAAGCCUUCCAUGGGAUUCUUCCUCCUUUCCAUCUUUUCCAACAUCUCUUCAUCCUUGUGCCCGUUCCAAACGCUGCCAAACCCGCCAUCGUUGGUGGAUGUGAACUAAUGCUUCGCCCUAAAACCCGGCACGAGUACUUAGCUUAUGAUCCAGCGGGUAAAGGAAUUGAAUGGAAGAAAUUCUAGUUUCACGUUGGGAACUUUGAAUCUCCCCUUCCAGAAAGAAUUCCUGGCGCCCCUCAAGUCCAAGAAAACUGGUCGAGUUUAGGACCUGGUGGCCAACAAGUCGAGUGCAUCCUUAGAGUCAUUGCAAAGUUGAAAAGCAAAGGAGUUACUGGAGAUCACAUGGUAUUCUCCUUUGUGAGCCGUCGGGUCCAGCCUCUUCAACAUCGUCAACAUCCAGCCUUCCGAUAUGAAGGGACACAGGACCCUACUAGAAUGUCGCCAGAACCAAUGGCUCAAUCAAAAGCAGUCAAGAGAUGCUGCAAAGUACUUGAUAACUUCGACAAGUCUUUAAAGAUUCCAACACUCUUCUGGGCAAAGAAUCCUCCCGAGAAUUCAUGGAAAAAUUAUAAGACAUGGUAUUGUAUGCCUCUAACUUCGAUAGAUCUUGCUUCUGAUGAUAGCAAGAAACGGGAGGCCGCUCCUGGAGCUUAGCUGCAGAGGAAAAUACCUCGUCUUCAUGCUGGCCAGAUCCAAUAUCUUCCAGCAUAGGAGAAAGACCAAAUCCAGGACUUCUGUAACUGGAUGGAGAGUAGUCCAGAAGCAAGUACUCGAUCCACCCCUGAGUCUCCAGUAAUUGGGUUGAUCGAGAACUCGACUACUCUCUCCCCGAGUGUGGACAUGCCUGGGACGUCAAAGGAGCUGCCUCUUGAGGUACCCGCGUCUACUCCUUCUGCAGCUGGUGAAGGUACUUUAAACACUGUUGGAUGUGGCAAUGACAAAGCUGAAGGAUCAAGGAACCCAACUGUUCGACUAGUACCCUUUCAGUCGAUGCCGCAAUCUACCCAAGAGGAAUUGGGUAAAGAACUUUUUGAUGACCUUUGUUGUCUGUGGACAAUAUGAAGAAACUCGCAGAUUCUAUGCAAUGGUGCUUUAAAUAUACUAAGGAUGUUGCCAAUCGGUCUUUUUUGAAGACUCAUGCUUUGUAUAAGACUGUCGAUAAUCAAAAUACCUUGGAGCAACAGAAUGUCCUGAUUGCCAAACGACUAGAUGAAUCCCUUGCUGCUCGGAACAAGCUGUAUGAAGCAAACUGAAAGCAUCAUUUAGAACUUUGUGACAUGAAGCGGCGAAUCAAGAAUCUCGAGGAAGAAAAAUCAAAGCUCCAAGAAUAGUUGCAAAAUGCUCAAGCCUGUUCUGCAAGUGACCAUACUCGACUAGUAGCAGCAGCUCAGGUCAUCGUGGAUAUGGUAGAUUCUGAAGAGGGUCGUCGAGUAGCAAAUCCUUGGUAGAGCGUUUAGAAGAAGCUCCCAAAAAGUUUUUUGAUGUCAUGACGGCUACCUCAAAGAAUUAUUUAACCCAUAUGAUUGGAGUUGUCAAGUCAUACUUACCUCAGUUCAAUUUAGCUCCCAUAGCUAAAGGAAUAGCUCCUGAUUGCUCUGAUGAGAAAUUCCAGGACUAUUGUAAAGAAUCAGAAGUAAUCGCUGUGGAAAUUCUGAAGAACUUGGCAGAGUAAACUGCUUGUAACAACUCUUGUAAUCUUCCAUAAGAUUUUGUCUUUGUAGAUAUUGUUCUUA